UGACAAUCAGGACGCUUAGAGUAUGGCCACAUGAAUGACUCAGCGCAGUAUGAAGUCUUUGUUUUCUUCCGAAAACAAGCUCAAUGAGAGCCAUCGGGGGUAGAUCUAUCUCAUGACGAGUGGUGGAAUACUUUGACUCAUGAGAGAGAAGCUGAGGCGAAGGCGUCUACCUAGAGGGUUUCUGUCGAUCAAGGGCGAGAGUAGGAGUAUCCAACAGGAUUAGAGACCCUGGUAGUUCCUACCUUAAACGAUGCCGACAGGAGUUUGUCAUUUGUUAAUGGCAGAAUCUUUGGAGAAAUCAUAGUUCUUGGGCUCUGGGGGAACUACGACCGCAAGGCUGAAACUUGAAGGAAUUGACGGAAGGGCACACCAGGGGUGGAGCCUGUGGCUUAAUUUGAAUCAACACGGGGAAACUUACCAGGACCAGAUGUUUUUUAUGACUGACAGGCUUCGGGUCUUUCAGGAUAUUGUUUUUGGUGGUGCAUGGCCGUUGGUGGUGCGUGGGUUGACCUGUCUAGCGUUGAUUCAGCUAACGAGCGAGAUUAUCGCCAAUUAUUUACUUUGCCGAAGUCCUUCGGUUAAAGUUCUAAUUGGGACUCCCUGCGAUUUUAGCAGGUGGAAGAGGGUAGCAAUAACAGGUCCGUGAUGCCCUUUAGAUGCUCUGGGCUGCACGCGUGCUACAAUGUUAGGAUCAAUAGGACUGCGAGCCUGAGAGGGUGCGCUACUCUUAUAAUCCCUAACGUAGUUGGGAUUGACGUUUGUAAUCAGCGUCAUGAACCAGGAAUCCCUUGUAAAUGUGUGUCAACAACGCACGUUGAAUACGUCCCUGCCCUUUGUACACACCGCCCGUCGCUCCUACCGAUUGGAUGACUCGGUGAAAUCACCGGAUGCUUACGAGCAGAAAGUGAUUAAAUCACGUUAUCUAGAGGAAGGAGAAGUCGUAACAAGGUAACGGUAGGUGAACCUGCCCGUGGAUCAGUU
Trichomonas vaginalis G3 is the source of this 981-nucleotide non-coding RNA. NCBI's taxonomy places the organism in Eukaryota, Parabasalia, Trichomonadida, Trichomonadidae. The record is from Rfam.